RNAcentral lists this long non-coding RNA (1069 nucleotides) under Gossypium barbadense (sea-island cotton). RNAcentral's name for it is "long non-coding RNA (GBAR_LNC009556)". Lineage: Eukaryota; Viridiplantae; Streptophyta; Magnoliopsida; Malvales; Malvaceae. The record is from RNAcentral.
GACAUCGUUGCUAACACUGUGAUUGAAAAGCCUGACUGCAGCAGUCAGAAUCGUGAGCAAAAGCAAUAGAGAAAAAUGGUAAAUAACCGACAUUCGUUAUUCCUUCUAUAAUCAAUAAGCAAUUCAUUUAACCUUUUGAGAAAAAUAUCUAUGACAAAGAGUGGAAACAUGUGUAGAAGCCCAAAUUAGCCCGGAUCUUUUAAAAAAAAUAAACCCAAACUAAAUCAAUUACAACAGCCCAAUAUAGGCUCAAAAUCAUUAAAACCCUAAAGACCCAGUUGGCCCAUAACUUUAACUAAUUUUCAGCAAAAACAAAAAAGAGCAAAACCCUAGCCGCAUGCCUUCAGCCACCAGCCUCUUCACGCGCGCCACCACCGCUCGGGGCGCCAAUCACCGGCCUUCCACGCGUCUGACACCACCUGCAACAAGAACAAACACAACAGCAAAGAAAGCAUGCGAAUAAUGGGGGAAGUAAUAAACAAAAGGAACGAAAAAAAACAUUGGCUUUAAAAGCCGAAAUCUAUCAUUUGUAAAAAAGGGAGGGGGGUGGUGGUAACACAGAUAUUAGAGAUCAAAACAAGUACAAACAAUAAAAAGAGCAAGAAAAGAAAAGGUUGAUAUGUGAUUCUACUUUCUUUAUUUCGUCUUUUAUUUUUUUUUCUCUAAUUUUUCUCUUGAUUUCAACACAAAUCUAUUAAAUAAGAGUAGACUUAAAACCAAAAAAGAAAAAAGAAGAAGAACCUCACAGGAAUAGCCCGCGAUUGUCUCGCCGGAUACCUUUCCUCCGUCGUCGGGACUAAAGGGAGGUGGAGUCCUUUCUUUUGGUUCUUGUCGACUCAAAAAAGGCUAGGACUUCGAGAUCCUUUUGGAACAAGGCCGAACGGCCCAUGCUCGCACCUCACCGGCCACCAAGUACGGUGGUGGUAUGGCGGUCCGAUGAUAAUGCGAUGAUGGGUUCUUGUAAACCCUGGCAGAGGAAAUGGAAAAGAGGGAGAGGGGGUAAAAGGCCCUCUGCAUUCUUUUUUCUUCUUUAAAACAGAAGCUGAAAUGAAAAAGAAAAAGGAAUGGC